AAGACAAUACUUUCAGGGAUCAUUUCUACAGUUCAUUACUAGAGAAGUUUCUCUGAAUGUGUAGAGCAGAGGUCUCCAACCCCAGGG
RNAcentral lists this small nucleolar RNA (87 nucleotides) under Nomascus leucogenys (northern white-cheeked gibbon). Its description in RNAcentral is "Small nucleolar RNA U3". It matches the Rfam family "Small nucleolar RNA U3", at positions 1 to 84 of the family's 219-position model. Rfam says of the family: Small nucleolar RNAs (snoRNAs) are involved in the processing and modification of rRNA in the nucleolus. There are two main classes of snoRNAs: the box C/D class, and the box H/ACA class. The record is from Rfam by way of RNAcentral. Lineage: Eukaryota; Metazoa; Chordata; Mammalia; Primates; Hylobatidae.